CCUACGGGUGGCAGCAGUGAGGAAUAUUGGUCAAUGGACGAGAGUCUGAACCAGCCAAGUAGCGUGAAGGAUGACUGCCCUAUGGGUUGUAAACUUCUUUUAUAUGGGAAUAAAAUGUUCCACGUGUGGGAUUUUGUAUGUACCAUAUGAAUAAGGAUCGGCUAACUCCGUGCCAGCAGCCGCGGUAAUACGGAGGAUCCGAGCGUUAUCCGGAUUUAUUGGGUUUAAAGGGAGCGUAGGUGGAAUGUUAAGUCAGUUGUGAAAGUUUGCGGCUCAACCGUAAAAUUGCAGUUGAAACUGGCAGUCGUGAGUACAGGAGAGGUGGGCGGAGUCCGGGGUGAAGCGGUGAAAGGCUUAGAUAUAACGAAGAA
This 371-nucleotide ribosomal RNA is filed under the name uncultured bacterium. Its description in RNAcentral is "partial 16S ribosomal RNA". It matches the Rfam family "Bacterial small subunit ribosomal RNA", at positions 338 to 706 of the family's 1533-position model. The record is from RNAcentral.